RNAcentral lists this non-coding RNA (28 nucleotides) under Rattus norvegicus (Norway rat). Lineage: Eukaryota; Metazoa; Chordata; Mammalia; Rodentia; Muridae. The record is from RNAcentral.
UGGGUAUAAGGAGCUCUUGGAAGGAUGC